GACGAACGCUGGCGGCGUGCUUAACACAUGCAAGUCGAACGGUAAGGCCCUUCGGGGUACACGAGUGGCGAACGGGUGAGUAACACGUGGGCAACCUGCCUCAUAGAGGGGAAUAGCCUUCCGAAAGGGAGAUUAAUACCGCACAAGAUUGUAGCUUCGCAUGAAGCAGCAAUUAAAGGAGUAAUCCGCUAUGAGAUGGGCCCGCGGCGCAUUAGCUAGUUGGUGAGGUAACGGCUCACCAAGGCGACGAUGCGUAGCCGACCUGAGAGGGUGAUCGGCCACAUUGGGACUGAGACACGGCCCAGACUCCUACGGGAGGCAGCAGUGGGGAAUAUUGCACAAUGGGGGAAACCCUGAUGCAGCAAUGCCGCGUGAGUGAUGACGGCCUUCGGGUUGUAAAGCUCUGUCCUUGGGGACGGUAAUGACGGUACCCGAGGAGGAAGCCACGGCUAACUACGUGCCAGCAGCCGCCGUAA
Molecule: ribosomal RNA, 476 nt
Filed under: uncultured bacterium
Lineage: Bacteria
Description: partial 16S ribosomal RNA
Rfam family: Bacterial small subunit ribosomal RNA
Source: RNAcentral